GGCCGCAUGGCGCAGUGGGUAGCGCACCUGGUGAUCUAGCAGGCCGAUCUUGGGUUCGAACCCACACGAGGUCA
Molecule: non-coding RNA, 74 nt
Organism: Caenorhabditis brenneri
Lineage: Eukaryota; Metazoa; Nematoda; Chromadorea; Rhabditida; Rhabditidae
Source: the annotation of a GenBank genome assembly